AACGAACGCUGGCGGCAUGCCUAACACAUGCAAGUCGAACGAGACCUUCGGGUCUAGUGGCGCACGGGUGCGUAACGCGUGGGAACCUGCCCUUAGGUUCGGAAUAACUCCCCGAAAGGGGUGCUAAUACCGGAUAAUGUCUUCGGACCAAAGAUUUAUCGCCUUUGGAUGGGCCCGCGUUGGAUUAGCUAGUUGGUAGGGUAAAAGCCUACCAAGGCGACGAUCCAUAGCUGGUCUGAGAGGAUGAUCAGCCACACUGGGACUGGGACACGGCCCAGACUCCUACGGGAGGCAGCAGUGGGGAAUAUUGGAAAAUGGGCGAAAGCCUGAUCCAGCACUGCCGCGUGAGUGAUGAAGGCCUUAGGGUUGUAAAGCUCUUUUACCCGGGAUGAUAAUGACAGUACCGGGAGAAUAAGCUCCGGCUAACUCCGUG
This 433-nucleotide ribosomal RNA is filed under the name uncultured bacterium. RNAcentral describes it as "partial 16S ribosomal RNA". It matches the Rfam family "Bacterial small subunit ribosomal RNA", at positions 29 to 507 of the family's 1533-position model. The record is from RNAcentral.